GUAUAGAAAGAGGUGUAGUGAAGGAAUGAUUGUGGUAUAGAAAGAGGUGUAGUAAAGGAGUGAUAGUGGUAUAGAAAGAGGUGUAGUGAAGGAAUGAUAGUGGUAUAGAAAGAGGUGUAGUGAAGGAGUGAUAGUGGUAUCGAAAGAGGUGUAGUAAAGGAGCGAUAGUGAUAUAUAAAGAGGUGUAGUGAAGGAGUGAUAGUGGUAUAGAAAGAGGUGCAGUAAAGGAGUGAUAGUGAUAUAUAAAGAGGUGUAGUGAAGGAGUGAUAGUGGUAUAUAAAGAGGUGUGGUGAAGGAGUGAUAGUGGUAUAGAAAGAGAUGUAGUAAAGGAGUGAUAGUGGUAUAAAAAGAGGUGUAGUAAAGGAGCGAUAGUGAUAUAUAAAGAGGUGUAGUGAAGGAGUGAUAGUGGUAUAUAAAGAGGUGUAGUAAAGGAGUGAUAGUGGUAUAGAAAGAGGUGUAGUAAAGGAGUGAUAGUGGUAUAAAAAGAG
Molecule: long non-coding RNA, 488 nt
Organism: Oncorhynchus keta (chum salmon)
Lineage: Eukaryota; Metazoa; Chordata; Actinopteri; Salmoniformes; Salmonidae
Exons: 3
Source: RefSeq, a predicted model, not a curated record